Molecule: ribosomal RNA, 575 nt
Filed under: uncultured bacterium
Lineage: Bacteria
Description: bacterial SSU rRNA
Rfam family: Bacterial small subunit ribosomal RNA
Source: RNAcentral
GAGUUUGAUCAUGGCUCAGAUUGAACGCUGGCGGCAGGCCUAACACAUGCAAGUCGAGCGGAUGACAGGAGCUUGCUCCUGAAUUCAGCGGCGGACGGGUGAGUAAUGCCUAGGAAUCUGCCUGGUAGUGGGGGACAACGUUUCGAAAGGAACGCUAAUACCGCAUACGUCCUACGGGAGAAAGCAGGGGACCUUCGGGCCUUGCGCUAUCAGAUGAGCCUAGGUCGGAUUAGCUAGUUGGUGAGGUAAUGGCUCACCGAGGCGACGAUCCGUAACUGGUCUGAGAGGAUGAUCAGUCACACUGGAACUGAGACACGGUCCAGACUCCUACGGGAGGCAGCAGUGGGGAAUAUUGGACAAUGGGCGAAAGCCUGAUCCAGCCAUGCCGCGUGUGUGAAGAAGGUCUUCGGAUUGUAAAGCACUUUAAGUUGGGAGGAAGGGCAUUAACCUAAUACGUUAGUGUUUUGACGUUACCGACAGAAUAAGCACCGGCUAACUCUGUGCCAGCAGCCGCGGUAAUACAGAGGGUGCAAGCGUUAAUCGGAAUUACUGGGCGUAAAGCGCGCGUAGGUGGU